GAGACAUCCUUCUGGGGCAAGACUUGCUUCAGUGGGGCUUUGGUGCUCACUGAGUCUGCCCCCUGAAUGUGUCUCU
Myotis lucifugus (little brown bat) is the source of this 76-nucleotide non-coding RNA. The record is from Rfam. Lineage: Eukaryota; Metazoa; Chordata; Mammalia; Chiroptera; Vespertilionidae.